RNAcentral lists this ribosomal RNA (253 nucleotides) under uncultured bacterium. RNAcentral describes it as "partial 16S ribosomal RNA". It matches the Rfam family "Bacterial small subunit ribosomal RNA", at positions 524 to 776 of the family's 1533-position model. The record is from RNAcentral.
UACAGGGGGGGCAAGCGUUGUUCGGAAUUACUGGGCGUAAAGGGCCCGUAGGCGGCCAACUAAGUCCGACGUGAAAUCCCCAGGCUUAACCUGGGAACUGCGUCGGAUACUGGAUGGCUUGAAUUCGGGAGAGGGAUGCAGAAUUCCAGGUGUAGCGGUGAAAUGCGUAGAUAUCUGGAGGAAUACCGGUGGCGAAGGCGGCAUCCUGGACCGGCAUUGACGCUGAGGAGCGAAAGCCAGGGGAGCAAACGGG